Molecule: unclassified non-coding RNA, 385 nt
Filed under: uncultured bacterium
Lineage: Bacteria
Description: contains 16S-23S intergenic spacer region
Source: RNAcentral
UCCUAGUUUCCCAGGCAGUCCCACCAGAGUGCUCUACUCACGUAGAUAGCAACUGAUGGCAAGGGUUGCGCUCGUUAAAGGACUUAACCCAACAUCUCACGACACGAGCUGACGACAGCCAUGCAGCACCUGUGAAUAUGUCUGAACCGAAGCUCAGAAAAUCGUAUUUCUACGACAGUCAUAAACAUGUCAAGUCUAGGUAAGGUUCCUCGCGUAGUAUCGAAUUAAACCACAUGGUCCACCGCUUGUGCGGACCCCCGUCAAUUCCUUUGAGUUUUAGUCUUGCGACCGUAAUCCCCAGGCGGAUCACUUAACGCGUUAGCUACGACACCAAUUUCGCAAGCGAAACUGACGUCUAGUGAUCAUCGUUUACAGCGUGGACUAC